ACGGGAGGCAGCAGUGAGGAAUAUUGGUCAAUGAGCGAGAGCCUGAACCAGCCAAGUAGCGUGAAGGAUGACUGCCCUACGGGUUGUAAACUUCUUUUAUACGGGAAUAAAAAAGGCCACGUGUGGCCUCUUGUAUGUACCGUAUGAAUAAGCAUCGGCUAAUUCCGUGCCAGCAGCCGCGGUAAUACGGAAGAUGCGAGCGUUAUCCGGAUUUAUUGGGUUUAAAGGGAGCGUAGGCGGGUCUUUAAGUCAGUGGUCAAAGCGUGUGGCUCAACCAUACCACGCCAUUGAUACUGGAGACCUUGAGUGCACAUAAGGAUGGUGGAAUUCGUCGUGUAGCGGUGAAAUGCUUAGAUAUGACGAAGAACUCCGAUUGCGAAGGCAGCUGUCCGGGGUGUAACUGACGCUAAUGCUCGAAAGUACGGGUAUCAAACAGGAUUAAAUACCCUGGUA
This 453-nucleotide ribosomal RNA is filed under the name uncultured Prevotellaceae bacterium. RNAcentral describes it as "partial 16S ribosomal RNA". It matches the Rfam family "Bacterial small subunit ribosomal RNA", at positions 341 to 792 of the family's 1533-position model. Lineage: Bacteria; Pseudomonadati; Bacteroidota; Bacteroidia; Bacteroidales; Prevotellaceae. The record is from RNAcentral.